UACGUAGGGGGCAAGCGUUGUCCGGAAUCAUUGGGCGUAAAGCGCGUGUAGGCGGCCUUGUAAGUCCGUUCUGAAAGCCCGGGGCUCAACCCCGGGAGGCGGAUGGAUACUGCAAGGCUCGAGUACGGAAGAGGCGAGUGGAAUUCCCGGUGUAGCGGUGAAAUGCGCAGAUAUCGGGAGGAACACCGGUGGCGAAGGCGGUUCUCUGGGCAUGUCCUGACGCUGAGGAGCGAAAGUGUGGGGAGCGAACAGG
This 253-nucleotide ribosomal RNA is filed under the name uncultured bacterium. Its description in RNAcentral is "partial 16S ribosomal RNA". It matches the Rfam family "Bacterial small subunit ribosomal RNA", at positions 524 to 776 of the family's 1533-position model. The record is from RNAcentral.